RNAcentral lists this ribosomal RNA (263 nucleotides) under uncultured bacterium. Its description in RNAcentral is "partial 16S ribosomal RNA". It matches the Rfam family "Bacterial small subunit ribosomal RNA", at positions 793 to 1055 of the family's 1533-position model. The record is from RNAcentral.
GUCCACGCCGUAAACGAUGAAUGCUAGCCGUUGGCGGGUUUACCCGUCAGUGGCGCAGCUAACGCUUUAAGCAUUCCGCCUGGGGAGUACGGUCGCAAGAUUAAAACUCAAAGGAAUUGACGGGGGCCCGCACAAGCGGUGGAGCAUGUGGUUCAAUUCGACGCAACGCGAAGAACCUUACCUACCCUUGACAUGCCAGGAAGGCCGCAGAGAUGUGGUUGUGCCCGAAAGGGACCUGGACACAGGUGCUGCAUGGCUGUCGU